This 200-nucleotide unclassified non-coding RNA is filed under the name soil metagenome. Its description in RNAcentral is "partial contains internal transcribed spacer 2 and large subunit ribosomal RNA". The record is from RNAcentral.
ACUCUGUUGUGUUACAACAACUGGUCUUAAAUGAAUGAGUGCACCCUGCUGUUGCAGCGUCUUCAGUGUGAUAAACAUUUUCACUGGAACAAAGUCCUUUGGGACACGCAGGCAUUGCAGGCUCUGUGCUGGCAAACUGUCUUUGGACAAUCUUUUGACAAUUUGACCUCAAAUCGGGUGGGACUACCCGCUGAACUUAA